This 204-nucleotide ribosomal RNA is filed under the name Isochrysis galbana. RNAcentral's name for it is "partial Bacterial large subunit ribosomal RNA". It matches the Rfam family "Bacterial large subunit ribosomal RNA", at positions 315 to 519 of the family's 2925-position model. The record is from RNAcentral. Lineage: Eukaryota; Haptophyta; Isochrysidales; Isochrysidaceae.
UACAAAGUCUGUGUCUAGCUGAAUGGUCUGGAAAGUCCAACCAGAGACGGUGAAAGUCCGGUAAGCGAAAGGUGCAGGCCUCUUGUCAGUUUCCUGAGUACGAUCCAGCACGUGGAAUUGGGUCGGAAUCUGCGGGGACCACUCCGUAAGGCUAAAUACACUCGAUGACCGAUAGCGAACUAGUACCGUGAGGGAAAGGUGAAA